Molecule: ribosomal RNA, 493 nt
Filed under: uncultured bacterium
Lineage: Bacteria
Description: bacterial SSU rRNA
Rfam family: Bacterial small subunit ribosomal RNA
Source: RNAcentral
AACGCUGGCGGCGUGCUUAACACAUGCAAGUCAACGGGGAUUACGGGAUUGAGAGCUUCGGCAGGAUAUCGUGUAAUUCGAGUGGCGGACGGGUGAGUAACGCGUGAGCAAUCUGUCCCAGACAGGGGAAUAACACUUGGAAACAGGUGCUAAUACCGCAUAAGACCACGAGGCGGCAUCGCCAUGGGGUAAAAGGUGCAAACCGGUUUGGGGUGAGCUCGCGUCCGAUUAGAUAGUUGGUGAGGUAACGGCCCACCAAGUCAACGAUCGGUAGCCGACCUGAGAGGGUGAACGGCCACAUUAGAACUGAGAGACGGUCCAAACUCCUACGGGAGGCAGCAGUGGGGAAUAUUGGGCAAUGGGCGAAAAAGCCUGACCCAGCAACGCCGCGUGAGUGAAGAAGGCUUUCGGGUUGUAAAGCUCUGUUAUAGGGGACGAAGGAAGUGACGGUACCCUAUAAGGAAGCCCCGGCUAACUACGUGCCAGCAGCUGC